UCCCGAGAAUAGAAAGAAAAUGAAGGAGGAUGACGAUGAUGAUAAUGAUGAAUAUUUAACUCACGAUCUGCUCUGCGGCGUGCGGUCCCUUUGUCUUCUGUUUUUGAACCAAUUAGAGACCUGUCUCCAAGAGGACGUCCCCGUAUCUUUUCCGCCUCACGAUAAUGCGAUUUAAACCACAUUUGCUGUAAAUCCGGAUGCCGUCGGGUUGAAAAAGGAUGCCCUUCCAAUAUCGAAUACAACUCGUGAUACGCUCCUCUGUGAAAAGCAACCGAAGCUCUCGCCAUCAAAACGCUUUCACCGCCUCGAAGAAGCUCCCCAGGUGAUCGAAAAAGGAAAUUCGCCUGUACGUUGGAGAGAACGAUAAAAAAAUGACCGAAAAAGUAGCCGAACCUGGUGAGCCUGUCGAUGUCCUGGCUCUGUGAAAGUGCUUCGCACAUGCACGAUAUUUGUUCCGGUGUAAAAUUGUUGUUGGAGUUCGAAGUGCACGAAGAAAGUUCCGGCGAAUACUGAGGACUUCCAGGUGCAGCGGCAUUUGCAUUACACGAAGUUAAAUUUUGUGGAUUAUGAUGAUGAUGAUGAUGGUGAAGCGGAAGUCCCGUCAUUGCGGAGGAUCCGUUAUUCUACGCCACUUUUUCGUUUUGGGUUCAUACCAUCGUCGAGGCGACGAGCUUCCCCAUUGGUAGCAAGGCGGGAUCUACGAUCUUCUCAUUGGACGAUAUAGGGGUGGCCACAACCCUCUCGUAAUAUACACCCCUUGCUGUAUACCUAUGUACAAUCGAAUCCCCUCUCAGCUAGAUGGAGGUGGAGGAGAGGAGAGGAGGAAAAUGAGGGGAAAAUAGAAGAUGAGGGAGGAAGUUACAUCGCCAAUCCUCUUUCUCCCUUUCUCCGCACACAUACAAUCCACACCACGUUGUUAUAUCUUGUAACGUAUACGAUUAUACACAAGUACAGUGGAUCGGCGUAUAAUAUGAACAACAAACACCGGAAACUGACUGGGGGUACGAGUAAUACCAGUGUCAACAAAUACACUACAGGCAUAUCGGUCAGCCAACACCUUGUUUUCAUCUAAUUACGAUAACAGUUAUAAAGUUAGCUGCUGCGCUACAUCACGAUAUCCGAGGACCUCCGCACUCUUUAUAUACCUCUCAUAUGUACAGCAACUGGCAGAGAGUGGAAAAUGUAUUUAUAUACAUAUAAUAUAAUUCUUCGGAGUGUUUCGUAGAUCAAUGAAGCCACGGAGUGAAGUUCUCACUCGUCAGUAACCGCCCCAAACGGACUCAAAGCAACCAUCAUCUCUUCCUCGCUUCAUCCCCCUUUUCGCAUCUCAUGCCUAUACGUAUGUUAUAGCUACAACUAUAUUUCUUAUUAUUGUGCCCAGCUGAAAAUCUCCAACUUAGCUUUAUUUAGGUGAUGAAAAAAAGGAAGAAAAGAAGACUCUUGCGGGUGGGGCGACGCCGAGGAAUUGGCGUCGGCGAGAGAGCGUCGCGAUGGCGUCUCCUUCGAUUUCGUGUCGGAUGUCCGCCAAGCCGCCAUUUUACCCCUCUUCACCUCUUCGCCUCUUCGUUCUACUCUCCUGCAGAGUAUAAUACGCUACACGGAAUUCUUCAGGGAGGGGAAGAGAGGAAAUAUCCACGGCGAAGGGAUGCUCAUCGCGGAGGUAUAAGAGCGAGGGCAAGGAAAAGGGGGGGACCUCUUUAUCAAACCCUUAUAUUGGAUCUUCUUACGUCGCUACGCGGUCCUCGUCGUCGUUAUGCUGCAGCAGCACACCCCCACCAAUUCUUCACUUCCAUCUACCUUUAUUCUUCGUUGGCACAUCACAUUGCAGCAAUAGGAUAUUGCCCUUCGUUUCGCUUGUAUAUACAUAUAAAUGGCAGACAGAGAGAGAGACAAAGAAAGAGAAAGACAGAAGCUAGGCAGCCCUUCCGCGUGAUGUUUUCACCCGAGAUUUAUGGUAGGGCUAAUUAUUAUUGGGGUGGAUGGCCCUGCAUUGCUCAUGCGGUAGCACAGAGAAAAAAGAAAUGAGAGGGAGAUGGAGAUGGAGUGAUCUUCAAAAAGGAAAAAAAAGGAGGAGAGACUCUCUAUUGAUUUAUAUCGCCUAGCUCGUGUGUAACACCAGUGGAGAUGAGGCGAUGAGAAUGAUGAUGAUGCGAUGGGGUUUCCGAGGUUUACGGUCUGUCGCUUUAUGGCAUCGAAAUCCUUAUGCGCUUAUACGUUAUGCUAUGGGAGUUAAAACCGGUGGCGGUCGGCGUUGCAGAGCUUAUUAGGACAUAUAGAAUACAGAGCCUAAUGAUCCGAAAGUGCUGCACAUGUGUCGAAGUUAUGUCACUCGAUAUCAUCAACCCUGUUAGAAUGUAUAUAAUAAGUAUAUGUAUAUAUAUUAGGGGUGACCCUCAUCUUCGUCGUCUUCAUUUUCUUAUUUUUUUUUCUGAUUUUGGGGUUUUCUCUGGUGAACGUCCGAGGAAUAAGCAGAUUCUACAAAUUCCUCAUCCGUUUUCACAAGGAGAGGGAAUAAAUCGCUGUUGCUUCUACCCGGAGAUUUUAGCGUGGUCAGUAAUUGGCUCAAAUCGUGAUGAUGAUCACUGUGAUGGUGGUAAACAGUUGCGCGGAAUUAGAAUAAUGAUAACGUUCAUACUGUCGGGUCGGCGGGACCGCGUGUCAGGUGAGUUUUGUGGGAGAACGUCGUUCGCAGGUCUCCUGGAGGGUAUCGGAUAUCGCUGACGUAUAAAAACGAUCGUUGCAUCGUUUCUCGUUCUUUUUUAAUCUAGAUUACAUAAUAGGCGUUAACACGACGGAUUUGAUAAUCUGAAGGAAAAUCUGAUAGCCGUUAAAUGGAAAAUCGACGCUACCAGCCACUACAAAUCCUUUGCAAACUUAAUUCCCUUUGGCUGAUCCCUGGAACGCGCGACUAUAAGAGAAAUCCUGGAGACGCGCGCUUCUGCAAUAUGUACAGGAUAUCUAUACCAAAAAGAAAAAAAAUUAAAUGAAGUGAGAGCGAGAGGUGCAGCGGACAAUUGCAACGCAGCAAUCCUGAAGGUCUGAAAAUAAUAAUUCUGCAGACUUCCAUUUCUUUAUCGCAAAAUGCACAUCAUAUCAUCAUCGGCGUCAUCAUCAUCAUGUGCUACUGCCUCAGCUACUGCAUAACUACAAUUCCUGGAAAACGAAGUAUGUAGGGUUCCAGUGGUACCCAUAGAAAAAGAAGCUAGGAGUCCUCGUCGCAGAUAACGACGCGACGCGGUACGGAUAACAAGCCGACAUGGGAGUCACUCGACACCGCGGGACGCCCGGUACCCACCGACCCUAUUUUCUGCCCUUCUCUACACCAUGAUCUCGGAAUAUCCUACCAACGGAAAAUCAACCCCUUGAUACCUCAAGGAUAUAAAAGGUAUUCCGACGAACAGAAAGAGCAAAGAAACAAGGUAUUAACCUGAUUUAUAAUUGAUUUAUAAUCAGAUCAGCUGCUACUUAAUCAUAACUACACCGCAUCCCCAUGAAAGUUUUAAUAUCUUUCAUAUCGUAUUAUUUACGAAAAAUUGCCCAAUUUUCUUUCAAGCGUACACGAUGACUAUAGUCACCAGAGGUACACGUACAGCAUUAUCUUUUUUCUUCAUUGAAACUGUAAAUCUGGUAGGUACAUCACGGGUACUGCGGUGAACAGGAAGCGAUAUUAAUGGCUGGAAAAAAUUCACUAGCUAGUAGCUAGACAUGCACGAAGAGUGGGAUAUGAUAUUUGGUUGACAGCUAUUGUCGUCGAUAUUUCAAUGGGGGUAUUACAACAAUAAGCUGCAGCUAUUGACAAGGGCACGCGGUUCGGAGGACGACAGAGGGGCGUCUUUUUUUCUCUUCUUUUCUUUUUUUCCUAGCUGUGUGUGUCUUUAUGUAACGUACGUGUACGGUACGUAUGGUUUAUGUGAAUGAAAAUAACAUGAAUGUAAGGACUGCGAAAGGCGUUGGGUUUACAUGCAACAUCACGCCACAGGCCCGGGAUUGCAGCAGCACCUCAUCUCUGUGUUCAAAGGUACAGUGGUAUACAAUACAUAUAAGUACAUAAUAUAAGGGUGAUUGUUACCCUGUGGAGCGGUGUUGGAAGAAGGGGAAGUUUUCGAGGAUAAGUUUAUGAUGCUUGACUGUGCUUUUAACGCCCAUGGGACUACCGACUCAAUAGGAAUUUUCUGGAUCAUGCAUAAAAAUAGAAAUCAGAAGAAGACAUGGUAAUAGAGAAUUAAUAAUUGAAGAUGGCCGUACUUUUAAUUAAAAAAAAAAAUGGUCUGCUCUUCAUCGUGGGAUCAAAAUGGAAUCCAAUGGAGAGUGAGGAAAUUCGAAUAAGUGAUACAUCAGAUGCAGAGUGGUUGCGGCAUUGCUCCAUCAUAGAUAUGGCUCCAUGGACCGAAAUGACAUGAGAGGUAUUUUUUAAUAUGCAUAUAAAAAGAAAUCUCGAUAAAAUUCUGACAAAUCUUUUCGGACGACGAUUAUUGCCCGAAGAAAUCUGAAAAAUCAAGGGCAGUCAUCAGAUUUUUUCAAAUGAUAUCAGGAUUCUAUUUUUUCUAAUUGAAUGACUGUAAUAUCGUCUUGAGCAUCCCCCAUUAACGCCUGAUCAUAUGCAUCUCGAGCUACCCUUUACAUUUACCCCUAAGGAUUGCGUGAGAACAGGCGCUGUAAAUAAUUGAGCAUGAGAAAAAAUAUUCUGUAUAAGGGUUGCAGACACUAGUGCUACCCCUCGGAUAUGUGACGAACUAAUUAUGUAUCAAACCACCCUCGACCGCCGAUAGCCAAUCUUCAGUCAACGCUUCAGUCGUUGACUGAUGACAACGCCAACCAUCCCUUCGAGUUGCUUGAAAUUAAAAGUAAAAUUAAUGAAAAUGGGCUAUCAAAUUUAUUUUAGAGUAAUGACCUCAAAAUCGAGGAAAGUCUAAGGUAUCAAAAUGGGAUGAGAAUUCAACUUUUUUCCUAGGAUUGAUUAGAGUUUUACAGGCUAUUUUUAAGUGUACUGGAGCCCAGGAACCCGAAUCUCCCAGAAAAAUUGAUCUAUUCAUAAAAUUCAUCGAGUUAUCGCCAAUUUAUCGAAUUUGAAAGAGAAAAGUAAGGGAUAUCUUGAUGGGAAAAAUUCGUAGCUCAAAUUGGCCGACGAAUUCGUGUUCCUAAGGUCAAAAUACGUAAGGAAAGUGUUCUGCGAUCGAUUUUAUAAAUACAUUUUUGGCCCAAAAAUCGAAAAAAUCCAAAGGGGUAACCCUUGGAUUUUUGUCGAUUUUGGCUCAAAAAAAAAAAUAUUUUAUUUUAUAUGCUAUUCUUAUGUAUUUUAA
This is a long non-coding RNA of Athalia rosae (coleseed sawfly), 5300 nucleotides long. RefSeq lists it as uncharacterized. The record is from RefSeq and is a predicted model, not a curated record. The transcript has 16 exons. Lineage: Eukaryota; Metazoa; Arthropoda; Insecta; Hymenoptera; Athaliidae.